UAGAAAUUAAAUAAAAAUUAAGCACAACAAAGCAGAGACUCCCCUCGUACCUUUUGCAUCAUGGUUUAGCUAGUCAAACCAAGCACAAAGAAUUUUAGUUUGACCUCCCGAAACUAGGUGAGCUACUUCAAAACAGCCUAUCAAGGGCCAACCCGUCUCUGUUGCAAAAGAGUGGGAAGAUUUUCAAGUAGAGGUGACAGACCUACCGAACCUAGAGAUAGCUGGUUAUUUAGGAAAAGGAUUUUAGUCCUACCUUAAGUUCUUCCUUUAUUAAUAAAACAACUCCGAACUUAAGAGCUAUUCAAACAAGGUACAGCCUGUUUGAAACAGGGAACAACCUCAAAAAUAGGGUAACUCCAAAUGACAGGUGUCCAAGUGGGCCUAAAAGCAGCCAACUUUAAAAAAGCGUUACAGCUUCCUCACCAGUCACUUUAAUACCAAAAACACUACAUAACCCUUACCCAGUACUAAAUAACUCUAUACCCCUAUAGAAAUUAUUAUGCUAAAACUAGUAACAUGAAGAAGCCCUUCUCCUAAAUGUACAUGUACGCCAAAAAGAACAAUUCAUUGGCAUUUAACGCUACUGACCCUAAAGCAACAACUAUACAAGAGAAUCUUGCUAACACCAACGUUAACCUAACACAAGAACAUUUCAGGAAAGAUUAAAAGAGGUGGAAGGAACUCGGCAAAUUUUAACCCCGCCUGUUUACC
This 711-nucleotide ribosomal RNA is filed under the name Gastrophryne carolinensis (eastern narrow-mouthed toad). RNAcentral describes it as "partial 12S ribosomal RNA". The stretch from base 1 to 507 matches the Rfam family "Bacterial large subunit ribosomal RNA", at positions 583 to 1301 of the family's 2925-position model. Lineage: Eukaryota; Metazoa; Chordata; Amphibia; Anura; Microhylidae. The record is from RNAcentral.